CGUUCAUUUUGCAUGCUUUUGUGCGAAUGCAGACUCUGAGCAUGGCUUGCAUGUUGGGUUUCAUCUCUAGUUUCUACAACACCAAGUCUUUAGUGCUGUGCAUUGGCAUCACUGCCACAGUGUGUCUGUGUGUCACCAUCUUCAGCUUUCAGAGCAAGAUUGACAUCACCUCUUUCCAAGGUCUUCUCUUCAUUCUGUGUAUGGUCAUG
Molecule: long non-coding RNA, 209 nt
Organism: Sinocyclocheilus rhinocerous
Lineage: Eukaryota; Metazoa; Chordata; Actinopteri; Cypriniformes; Cyprinidae
Exons: 3
Source: RefSeq, a predicted model, not a curated record